CACCGUUUCAGUGGCAUUUGUCAGUCUUGGGUGACGCGCAGCCGCCCCCCGAGGGGGCCGAGGCGGCGGCAGCUGCUGCGGCGGCUGCAAGGGCAGAUUC
This 100-nucleotide long non-coding RNA is filed under the name Panthera tigris altaica (Amur tiger). Its description in RNAcentral is "HOX antisense intergenic RNA myeloid 1 conserved region 1 (ENSPTIG00000004065.1)". It matches the Rfam family "HOX antisense intergenic RNA myeloid 1 conserved region 1". Lineage: Eukaryota; Metazoa; Chordata; Mammalia; Carnivora; Felidae. The record is from RNAcentral.